AGUGAACGUUGGCGGCGUGGAUUAGGCAUGCAAGUCGAGCGAGAACCGUAGCAAUACGGGGACAGCGGCGAAAGGGACAGUAAUGUGUAGGUACCUACCCCGGGGUCUGGGAUAGCUGCGGGAAACUGCAGGUAAUACCGGAUAAUGUCUUCGGACCAAAGGUGUGAUUCCACCUUGGGAGGGGCCUGCAUCCUAUUAGCUUGUUGGCGGGGUAACGGCCCACCAAGGCAACGAUGGGUAGCGGGUGUGAGAGCACGACCCGCGUCAUUGGGACUGAGAGACUGCCCAGACACCUACGGGUGGCUGGAGUCGAGGUUCUUCGGCAAUGGGCGAAAGCCUGACCGAGCGACGCCGCGUGCGGGAUGAAGGCCUUCGGGUUGUAAACCGCUGUCGUAGAGGAGGAAAUGCAGGGGGGUUCUCCCUUCUGUUUGACCUAUUCUAGGAGGAAGGACGGGCUAAGUUCGUGCCAGCCGCCGCCGUAA
This 482-nucleotide ribosomal RNA is filed under the name uncultured bacterium. RNAcentral describes it as "partial 16S ribosomal RNA". It matches the Rfam family "Bacterial small subunit ribosomal RNA", at positions 28 to 523 of the family's 1533-position model. The record is from RNAcentral.